AUGCACGCUGGCGGCGUGCCUAAUACAUGCAAGUCGAGCGAACAGAUGAGGAGCUUGCUCCUCUGACGUUAGCGGCGGACGGGUGAGUAACACGUGGAUAACCUACCUAUAAGACUGGGAUAACUUCGGGAAACCGGAGCUAAUACCGGAUAAUAUAUUGAACCGCAUGGUUCAAUAGUGAAAGACGGUUUUGCUGUCACUUAUAGAUGGAUCCGCGCCGCAUUAGCUAGUUGGUAAGGUAACGGCUUACCAAGGCAACGAUGCGUAGCCGACCUGAGAGGGUGAUCGGCCACACUGGAACUGAGACACGGUCCAGACUCCUACGGGAGGCAGCAGUAGGGAAUCUUCCGCAAUGGGCGAAAGCUUGACGGAGCAACGCCGCGUGAGUGAUGAAGGUCUUCGGAUCGUAAAACUCUGUUAUUAGGGAAGAACAAAUGUGUAAGUAACUAUGCACGUCUUGACGGGACCUAAUCAGAAAGCCACGGCUAACUACGU
This 495-nucleotide ribosomal RNA is filed under the name uncultured bacterium. RNAcentral describes it as "partial 16S ribosomal RNA". It matches the Rfam family "Bacterial small subunit ribosomal RNA", at positions 29 to 506 of the family's 1533-position model. The record is from RNAcentral.